This 73-nucleotide transfer RNA is filed under the name Zootermopsis nevadensis. It matches the Rfam family "tRNA". From Rfam's summary of the family: Transfer RNA (tRNA) molecules are approximately 80 nucleotides in length. Their secondary structure includes four short double-helical elements and three loops (D, anti-codon, and T loops). Further hydrogen bonds mediate the characteristic L-shaped molecular structure. tRNAs have two regions of fundamental functional importance: the anti-codon, which is responsible for specific mRNA codon recognition, and the 3' end, to which the tRNAs corresponding amino acid is attached (by aminoacyl-tRNA synthetases). tRNAs cope with the degeneracy of the genetic code in two manners: having more than one tRNA (with a specific anti-codon) for a particular amino acid; and 'wobble' base-pairing, i.e. permitting non-standard base-pairing at the 3rd anti-codon position. Lineage: Eukaryota; Metazoa; Arthropoda; Insecta; Blattodea; Termopsidae. The record is from Rfam by way of RNAcentral.
GGUACGGUGGUCUAGCGGUUAGAACGCUGGCCUUGUAAUCCUGGGGUCUCGGGUUCGAUUCCCGGAGGUGCCC